CCCUUAGAUGUCCUGGGCCGCACGCGUGCUACACUGACGCCUACAGCGGGUACUUCCCAGCCCCGAGAGGUGGCUGGUAAUCAGCAAUAGGCGUCGUGAUGGGGAUAGAUCUUUGGAAUUAUGGAUCUUGAACGAGGAAUGCCUAGUAAGCGCAGGUCAUUAGCCUGCGCUGAUUAAGUCCCUGCCCUUUGUACACACCGCCCGUCGCUCCUACCGAUUUCGAGUGGUCCGGUGAAUCUUUCGGACUGCGCGCGGCCUCGUGCCGUGUCGCGGAAAGUCAGGUAAACCUUAUCACUUAGAGGAAGGAGAAGUCGUAACA
Molecule: ribosomal RNA, 319 nt
Filed under: uncultured eukaryote
Lineage: Eukaryota
Description: partial 18S ribosomal RNA
Rfam family: Eukaryotic small subunit ribosomal RNA
Source: RNAcentral